RNAcentral lists this unclassified non-coding RNA (365 nucleotides) under uncultured bacterium. Its description in RNAcentral is "contains 16S-23S intergenic spacer region". The record is from RNAcentral.
UCCCCAUUAACUGGGGCAGUUUCCUGUGAAAAAUUCAACACAGGAUAGGGGUUGCGCUCGUUAACCGACUGAACGGGACACCUCACGGCACGAGCUGACGACAACCGUGCAGCACCUGUCUUCUGGCUCCUUGCGGCACGGCCCUGUUUCUAGGGCUUUCCAGAGAUGUCAAACCUUGGUAAGGUUCUUCGCUUGCUAUCGAAUUAAACCACACGCUCCACCGCUUGUGCAGGUCCCCGUCAAUUCCUUUGAGUUUUAAACUUGCGUUCGUACUCCCCAGGCGGCCGACUUAACGCGUUAGCUUCGAUCCAAAGGAGGGUCGAUACUCCCCAAGACCUAGUCGGCAUCGUUUACAGCGUGGACUA